AUCUCCGUGAUGAGAAUCUUAUCACAGACCUGUACCAAGAUCCAUGAGGAUAAGACACUCUGAGGGGGA
Molecule: small nucleolar RNA, 69 nt
Filed under: Erinaceus europaeus (western European hedgehog)
Lineage: Eukaryota; Metazoa; Chordata; Mammalia; Eulipotyphla; Erinaceidae
Description: Small nucleolar RNA SNORD25 (ENSEEUG00000022883.1)
Source: RNAcentral